Long non-coding RNA from Thunnus maccoyii (southern bluefin tuna), 254 nucleotides. RefSeq lists it as uncharacterized. The record is from RefSeq and is a predicted model, not a curated record. Lineage: Eukaryota; Metazoa; Chordata; Actinopteri; Scombriformes; Scombridae. The transcript has 3 exons.
GAGGUUGCACCAAAAAUCAAUACUCUCCCUCGUCCUGCUCUCCUCAUCCUCCUCCUCCUCACCGGUGGGCGUGGAUUUGGAAACUUUCUUCUCAGCUUUUAAAUUCAGGAGUUCAUUGUAGAUUUCAUUCUGACAGUCAAGUCAGGUCACUGGGAGCAAGAUGACAACAUACACAGACAAAGGCGAGAAGCAUGAGCAGGGAAGGUUCCUCUGCUUUGAUCACUUGACAUUCUGGGUUGGUAAUGCAAAACAGG